UACGUAGGUCCCGAGCGUUGUCUGGAUUUAUUGGGCGUAAAGCGAGCGCAGGUGGUUUAUUAAGUCUGGUGUAAAAGGCAGUGGCUCAACCAUUGUAUGCAUUGGAAACUGGUAGACUUGAGUGCAGGAGAGGAGAGUGGAGUUCCAUGUGUAGCGGUGAAAUGCGUAGAUAUAUGGAGGAACACCGGUGGCGAAAGCGGCUCACUGGCCCGUAACUGACACUGAGGCUCGAAAGCGUGGGGAGCAAACAGG
This 252-nucleotide ribosomal RNA is filed under the name uncultured bacterium. Its description in RNAcentral is "partial 16S ribosomal RNA". It matches the Rfam family "Bacterial small subunit ribosomal RNA", at positions 524 to 776 of the family's 1533-position model. The record is from RNAcentral.